AUCCCUUCAGCUCCAAUGAUGAACUUUGUGCGUGCCCAGAUCAAGAAAGCAGCUGAUGAGACCGACACUAUUCUGGAAACAACCCCGGCUGGCAAAAGCGAUGGGGAAGGUGCACUUCGAGCUUUCAUUAAGCGCCAGGGCCAAAAGUUAAGGCGGCUAUCAA
Triticum urartu is the source of this 163-nucleotide non-coding RNA. The record is from RefSeq and is a predicted model, not a curated record. NCBI's taxonomy places the organism in Eukaryota, Viridiplantae, Streptophyta, Magnoliopsida, Poales, Poaceae.